GAGUCAACCCAUUUCGGGCUGGGUGUGGUUUCUUUAUUUUCCUCUGUUCCAGACUUGUCUUUUUAUUCCAUUCAUCGAGGCUCUGAGCAGAUCUGUGUUCUCUGCAGCAGACUCACCAAUCAGGAGAGAAACGAUGGCCACAGUCCAAGUAGAGUAUUGUGCAGGAUGAGGCUACAAAUGGCACUUCGACCAGUUAGCCAUAGCAAUCAAGGCUCAGUGUCCUGGUGUGAAGGUGACUGGGUUCGAGGGGAGAUCCGGCAGCUUCGAGGUGAAGUUGAACAAUGAGCUGAUCUUCUCCAAGCUUCAGUCGGGAGCUUUUCCUGAAGCGCAUCAGAUAAUAAGUAUGGUGAGAUCCAAGAAGUAAGGGCCCGAUUCGAGCCCGAAGACAAAGAAGACUCGCCGUAAUGAGACAGCUGUAUUCACACCGGCAGACUGGCGGCUUUACUUUAAAAUAAAACCAGAAAAUUUGACCCCAAAAACAUGUAAAACACUUCAAUUGUCUUAAGAAACAGAUGAGAUGGCCAGUCUCCAGUGUGAAUACAGACCCAGAGUGGAGGGUGACGGGGCAGCUCGGAGGAACCAGGCACUGAUCUGCACUUCUGUUCAUGACUGUUCACACCAAAAACUCACGUGGUGUGAGCACGAUGCAAACCCAGAAGCGUUUCAGCUCCCCGAGGCCCGAAGAUCUGCUCCCAUCGACUCCGUCUGGCAACUUUUAAAUGAAACAGCUUACGCAGGGAACAGGGACGUGGAAACUAUCUCUCCGUCUACACCUCUUGUUUUUCCAUCUUUCCUAUGUUUUGGCCACUUUUGGCCCGUAAAAGAAGCAGAAUGUUAAAACGACUUUUCCGUACAAAGCUGCAAACUGCAACUUCCUCAAUGAGCAUACAAUAAAAUUCAAAAUUUAUUUCUGAAAUUCAAACGAAAAAAAAAAAGACCAAUUACACGAAAAAAUAAGCACAUUUCACAACAAAACUGUAUCAUGCAGUUGUGCAGGUGGAUUGACAGUCAUAAUGAAAGCUGUGUUUCUG
Molecule: long non-coding RNA, 1031 nt
Organism: Salarias fasciatus (jewelled blenny)
Lineage: Eukaryota; Metazoa; Chordata; Actinopteri; Blenniiformes; Blenniidae
Exons: 4
Source: RefSeq, a predicted model, not a curated record